RNAcentral lists this long non-coding RNA (1232 nucleotides) under Ictidomys tridecemlineatus (thirteen-lined ground squirrel). RNAcentral's name for it is "lncRNA (ENSSTOG00000014214.3)". The record is from RNAcentral. Lineage: Eukaryota; Metazoa; Chordata; Mammalia; Rodentia; Sciuridae.
UCAGCGAGGCCCGCCCCUCCCCAGCGCGGGUUGAAAGCCGGAAGCUGGCUAAGGACCGCGUACUCUGCUUCACAGUAACUAAAAGAUUCAGGGCGUUUCCGUGUGCGCCCCCAGACCUGGGCCGCGAGACCUCGCCACCGUGACGCGGCCAUGGGGGCUCUGCCCCGCUGGCCGCCCGCGGUUCUGGGACUCCCGGUGGGGCUGCUUCUCCUGUGUGUGAGCGCUCUGGCCCCGGUUCGCGCCUCCUUGCGGCUGUUGGACCACCCGGCACCGGUCUGUUCGCAGCAGGAGCUAGACUGCAGAGUCAAGAACAGUACCUGCCUGGAUGACAGCUGGAUCCACCCCCGGAACCUGACUCCCUCCUCCCCAAAACACAUUGAGAUCCAGCUGCGCCUUGCCAGAACGCAGCACGGAGACCUGGUCCCUGUGGUGCACAUUGAAUGGACACUACAGACAGAUGCCAGCAUCCUGUUCCUUGAGGGUGCAGAGCUGUCUGUCCUGCAGCUGAACACCAAUGAACGUCUGUGUGUUGAGCUGGAGUUUCUCUCCCAACUGAGCCAUCACCGCAAGCGGUGGCGUUUCACCUUCAGCCACUUUGUGGUAGAACCCAGCCAGGAGUACGAGGUGACUGUUCACCACCUGCCCAAGCCCAUCCCUGACGGGGACCCAAACCACCUGUCCAAGAAGCUCCUUGUGCCAGAUUGUGAGGACUCCAGGAUGAAGAUAACCACGCCAUGUGUGAGCUCAGGCAGCCUGUGGGACCCCAACAUCACCGUGGAAACCCUGGAGGCCCACCAGCUGCGGGUGAGCUUCACGCUGUGGAACGAAUCCUCCCAUUACCAGAUCCUGCUCAACAGUUUUCCACACAUGGAGGACCACAGCUGCUUCGAGCACAUACAGCGGAUACCUGCGCCCAAACAAGAGGAAUUCCACCAGCGAGCCAACCUCACUCUCCCGCUACACAGCUCUAACUGGUGCUGUCGCCACCGAGUACAGGUCCAGCCCUUCUUCAACAGCUGCCUUAAUGACUGCCUUAGACACACUGUGACCAUCCCCUGCCCAGACGUUCCAGAGCCUUCAGUCACAAUUGCAGAGUAUAUACCCCUGUGGGUGUAUGGCUUCAUCACGGGCAUCUCUAUCCUGCUGGUGGGCUCCAUCAUCCUGAAGACCAAAUGCACAACUUGGGGGCAACAUGAUGUCCCUGCCGAUGAACUGACCCUCCCAACCCCUGA